AGGACGACGCUGGCGGCGUGCCUAACACAUGCAAGUCGAGCGGAGAUGUACUGAAGAUUUAUCGGAUGUACAUCUUAGCGGCGGACGGGUGAGUAACGCGUGGGCAACCUGCCUUUCACUGGGGGAUAACACAGGGAAACCUGUGCUAAUACCGCAUGACAUCACGUAGGGCAUCCUAUGUGAUCAAAGGAGAGAUCCGGUGGAAGAUGGGCCCGCGUCCAAUUAGCUGGUUGGUGAGGUAAAGGCUCACCAAGGCGACGAUUGGUAGCCGAACUGAGAGGUUGAUCGGCCACAUUGGGACUGAGACACGGCCCAGACUCCUACGGGAGGCAGCAGUGGGGAAUAUUGCGCAAUGGGGGGAACCCUGACGCAGCAACGCCGCGUGAAGGAAGAAGGUCUUCGGAUUGUAAACUUCUUUGAUGAGGGACGAAUAAAGUGACGGUACCUCAAAAACAAGCCACGGCUAACUACGUG
Molecule: ribosomal RNA, 474 nt
Filed under: uncultured bacterium
Lineage: Bacteria
Description: bacterial SSU rRNA
Rfam family: Bacterial small subunit ribosomal RNA
Source: RNAcentral